CUUCUCUCCUUCACAUCGGCAGCGAUGCUCGAAAAAAAAUUUAAGUGUAUAAACGGGGGGAAAAACAAACACGAGCGAACCCAGUAAACACACGGGCAGCUGCCGUACUUCACCACGCACCGAAGCUCAGUCGAUGCAGCGCGGCGGUGCGCUGAGCAGACAGCGGAGGCUGGAGGAGGAAAACAAAAACACCCCGUGCAUCGGGCUUGGCACAUGCUGGUCGUAUCAAAACCGAAAUGGAUGAAGUAAAACAAGAUAACUGAGUAGAGAACACCUUAGGCUAGCUAACUUAGGCUUUCCCCCUAAAAAAUACUGCAAAAUCUGCAGCACCUCGCCAGAGAUGGAGCUGUUGGCUGAAGUCCCCCCCCUGAAAAAAACGUCCCCGCACCGUUUCAGCCAAUAGCAGUGCAGCUGUCCAUGUAAGGCCGCCUCGGAUUGGACGAAGCUGGUAAAGGGUUUUGCUACGAGCCGUCUGACUGGGCGAAUUUUGAGGGGCGAUUCCAGGACUGAUUUAUGCAAGUCUUUCACCGACUGCAUGGACCUCCAUGAGGGUAUUCCACCACAACGGGGUUUGCCCUGCAGCCCGUCUGCAUCACUGCCCGUGAUUACCUUUCCUGCAUGAGUCAUCCGCUUGUUCGUGAGCAGCGAGCCUCACUUAACUGUAAUACGUGUGUACGAGGGUGUAUAAAUGUAUUAAACGUCAUUUCAGCGCCA
Long non-coding RNA from Pygocentrus nattereri (red-bellied piranha), 714 nucleotides. RefSeq lists it as uncharacterized. NCBI's taxonomy places the organism in Eukaryota, Metazoa, Chordata, Actinopteri, Characiformes, Serrasalmidae. The record is from RefSeq and is a predicted model, not a curated record. The transcript is spliced from 2 exons.